Long non-coding RNA from Pongo pygmaeus (Bornean orangutan), 568 nucleotides. RefSeq lists it as uncharacterized. The transcript is spliced from 3 exons. NCBI's taxonomy places the organism in Eukaryota, Metazoa, Chordata, Mammalia, Primates, Hominidae. The record is from RefSeq and is a predicted model, not a curated record.
AGAGACGGGGUUUCGCCAUGUUGCCCAAGCUCGUCGCAAACUCCUGGACUCAAGUGAUCCAUUAGCCUCAGCCUCCCAAAGUGCUGGGAUUACAGGUCUUUUUCAGAGGAAGGAGACUAUUGCUGGCUUCAGUAAUCAGAAAUAGUCCUAUGAAAGGACUGUGUCCUAUGAAAGACAGAGUAUACAUACAGGGUCUCACUCUCUUGCCCAGGCUUGGGUGAAGUGGCACAAACACAGCUCACUGCAGCCUCAAUCUUCCAGGCUCAAGGAUCCUCCCACCUCAGCUUCCCAAGUAGCUGGGACUACAGGCGUGCACCACCAUGCCAGGCUGAUUUUUCUAUUUUUUGUAGAGACGUGGUUUUGCCAUGUUGGCCCAGGCUGGUCUCGCACUCCUGACCUCAAGUGAUCCACCCGCCUUGGCCUCACAAAGUGCUGGGAUUACAGGCAUGAGCCACCUCACCCAGUUGAAAGUAAUUUUUAAAAACUUUUUAUUGUGGAAAUAUUCUAAAGUAUACAAAAAUGUAAAGAUGCUGUAAUAAACUAAUAGGAAUCCAUCACCUAUCUUCAA